GACGAACGCUGGCGGCGUGCUUAACACAUGCAAGUCGAACGGAAAGGCCCUGCUUUUGUGGGGUGCUCGAGUGGCGAACGGGUGAGUAACACGUGAGUAACCUGCCCUUGACUUUGGGGUAACUCCAGGAAACUGGGGCUAAUACCGGAUAGGAGCUCCUGCUGCAUGGUGGGGGUUGGAAAGUUUCGGCGGUUGGGGAUGGACUCGCGGCUUAUCAGCUUGUUGGUGGGGUAGUGGCUUACCAAGGCUUUGACGGGUAGCCGGCCUGGGAGGGUGACCGGCCACAUUGGGACUGCGAUACGGCCCAGACUCCUACGGGAGGCAGCAGUGGGGAAUAUUGCACAAUGGGCGGAAGCCUGAUGCAGCAACGCCGCGUGCGGGAUGACGGCCUUCGGGUUGUAAACCGCUUUCGCCUGUGACGAAGCGUGAGUGACGGUAAUGGGUAAAGAAGCACCGGCUAACUACGUG
This 468-nucleotide ribosomal RNA is filed under the name uncultured bacterium. RNAcentral's name for it is "partial 16S ribosomal RNA". It matches the Rfam family "Bacterial small subunit ribosomal RNA", at positions 28 to 507 of the family's 1533-position model. The record is from RNAcentral.